Molecule: long non-coding RNA, 409 nt
Organism: Oncorhynchus tshawytscha (Chinook salmon)
Lineage: Eukaryota; Metazoa; Chordata; Actinopteri; Salmoniformes; Salmonidae
Source: Ensembl
UGAGGUCUACUACACCUGUUGUAUUCAGCAUUUCACUGUGAGGUCUACUACACCUGUUGUAUUCAGCAUUUCACUGUGAGGUCUACUACACCUGUUGUAUUCAGCAUUUCACUGUCAGGUCUACUACACCUGUUGUAUUCAGCAUUUCACUGUAAGGUCUACUACAUCUGUUGUAUUCAGCAUUUCACUGUGAGGUCUACUACACCUGUUGUAUUCAGCAUUUCACUGUAAGGUCUACUACAUCUGUUGUAUUCAGCAUUUCACUGUGAGGUCUACUACACCUGUUGUAUUCAGCAUUUCACUGUAAGGUCUACUACACCUGUUGAAUUCAGCAUUUCACUGUGAGGUCUACUACACCUGUUGUAUUCAGCAUUUCACUGUAAGGUCUACUACACCUGUUGUAUUCAGC